This 512-nucleotide ribosomal RNA is filed under the name uncultured bacterium. Its description in RNAcentral is "bacterial SSU rRNA". It matches the Rfam family "Bacterial small subunit ribosomal RNA", at positions 8 to 518 of the family's 1533-position model. The record is from RNAcentral.
AGAAUUGAUCUGGUUCAGGAUGAACGCUGGCGGCGUGCUUAAUACAUGCAAGUCGAACGAAGCACUUUUGGCAGAUCCCUUCGGGGUGAAGCCGGUUGUGACUUAGUGGCGGACGGGUGAGUAACGCGUGGGUAACCUGCCUUAUACUGGGGGAUAACAGUUAGAAAUGGUUGCUAAUACCCCAUAAGCGCACGGCACCGCAUGAUGCAGUGUGAAAAGAUUUAUUGGUAUAAGAUGGACCCGCGUCUGAUUAGUUAGUUGGUGAGGUAACGGCCCACCAAGACGACGAUCAGUAGCCGACUUGAGAGAGUGAUCGGCCACAUUGGGACUGAGACACGGCCCAGACUCCUACGGGAGGCAGCAGUAGGGAAUAUUGCACAAUGGGGGAAACCCUGAUGCAGCGAACCGCCGCGUGAGCGAUGAAGUAUUUCGGUAUGUAAAGCUCUAUCAGCAGGGAAGAUAAUGACGGUACCUGACUAAGAAGCCCCGGCUAACUACGUGCCAGCAGCUGC